This 483-nucleotide ribosomal RNA is filed under the name uncultured bacterium. Its description in RNAcentral is "partial 16S ribosomal RNA". It matches the Rfam family "Bacterial small subunit ribosomal RNA", at positions 28 to 523 of the family's 1533-position model. The record is from RNAcentral.
GACGAACGCUGGCGGCGUGCUUAACACAUGCAAGUCGAGCGAGACCCCGCUUUCGGGUGGGUGUUCUAGCGGCGAACGGGUGAGUAACACGCGGGCAACCUGCCCUCAGCUCUGGGAUAACUCCAAGAAAUUGGGGCUAAUACCGGAUAUGACCGCUGACCGCAUGGUCUGGUGGUGGAAAGAUUUAUCGGCUGGGGAUGGGCCCGCGGCCUAUCAGCUUGUUGGUGGGGUAGUGGCCUACCAAGGCGGCGACGGGUAGCCGGCCUGAGAGGGUGACCGGCCACACUGGGACUGAGACACGGCCCAGACUCCUACGGGAGGCAGCAGUGGGGAAUAAUGCGCACUGGGCGAAAGCCUGACGCGGCGACGCCGCGUGGGGGAUGACGGCCUUCGGGUUGUAACCCUCUUUCAGCAGGGACGAAGCGAAAGUGACGGUACCUGCAGAAGAAGCACCGGCCAACUACGUGCCAGCCGCCGCCGUAA